Molecule: non-coding RNA, 125 nt
Filed under: Lachnospiraceae bacterium TWA4
Lineage: Bacteria; Bacillati; Bacillota; Clostridia; Lachnospirales; Lachnospiraceae
Also listed under: 1 other name
Description: FMN riboswitch aptamer (RFN element)
Rfam family: FMN riboswitch aptamer (RFN element)
About the family: The RFN element is a highly conserved domain that is found frequently in the 5'-untranslated regions of prokaryotic mRNAs that encode for flavin mononucleotide (FMN) biosynthesis and transport proteins. This element is a metabolite-dependent riboswitch that directly binds FMN in the absence of proteins. In Bacillus subtilis, the riboswitch most likely controls gene expression by causing premature transcription termination within the 5' untranslated region of the ribDEAHT operon and precluding access to the ribosome-binding site of ypaA mRNA.
Source: Rfam by way of RNAcentral
UUUAAACUUCAGGGCGGGGUGAAAUUCCCCCCCACCGGUGGUUAUAGCCCACGAACUGGCAAGGUGCCAGCCGAUUCGGUGUAAUUCCGAAGCCGACAGUAUAGUCUGGAUGGAAGAAGUAUGAG